UUUACUCAAAUUUGUAUGGAGUUAGAACGUUUGCCUACGUUUGCUGCUAGGGGCGCUGUUCCAACUGCGUAUAAAUUUAAGUUA
This 84-nucleotide microRNA precursor is filed under the name Bombyx mori (domestic silkworm). Its description in RNAcentral is "mir-2807 microRNA precursor family". It matches the Rfam family "mir-2807 microRNA precursor family". Lineage: Eukaryota; Metazoa; Arthropoda; Insecta; Lepidoptera; Bombycidae. The record is from Rfam by way of RNAcentral.